Pangasianodon hypophthalmus (striped catfish) is the source of this 631-nucleotide long non-coding RNA. RefSeq lists it as uncharacterized. The record is from RefSeq and is a predicted model, not a curated record. Lineage: Eukaryota; Metazoa; Chordata; Actinopteri; Siluriformes; Pangasiidae. The transcript is spliced from 3 exons.
CCCAGUCGUGAAGCCCAGUCGUCAAAUGGAGGUCUAGAAAUUUCUCGCUAGCUCGUAGCUUGAGAAACAUCUUUCUUUCUCUCUUUCUUUCUUUUUUUUCUUGACUGUGUUGACUUCAUCGAAGGUUCUUGUGCAAAACAUCUCCCAUACAUCAUUUGAAGUCAUGCGCAGCUUUAUUCUAUGCAUCAUACCUUGGAUGUGUUUCACUAUUUAACUGACAGCAAUGAGCUCAAAAAUCAUCCUGGUCUUUAUUUUUGUGACCAUUGUGUGUGUAUGUUGCCCUGUGAUGGACACGGGUCCCAUCACGCCCAGUGUUCCAGAGCCACCGUUACCCUGACCAGGAUAAAGCACUUACUGAAUAUGGAUGGAUGAAUGAAUGAGCUGCGCCUGGAGGAGACCAUCGGCUGGAUUUUCAAAAGCAGUAUCUAAUAAGACAUAAACACACCUGAAUAUUUUAGCAUAUUUCAAUAUUUUUUAUUAAGUAUGAAUGCAGUUAUUCUACCAAUUACAACAGUACUUACAAGAAAACAACACAUUACUGAGACAGAAUUUUGAAAGAAAUUAGAAGUUCUGAAAUAAUCAAGGAAAAACUGUCAGUGCUUUUGUCAUGUUGUGAUUAAAGAAGACGAUA